CUUUUAUUGUGUGUGCUUUUGUGUUUAGUGUUAGAUAUACUAUUAUCUGUACUUAGUCGAGGGUCUAUCGAAAACCACCUCUUUACUUUAUUUGAGGUUGUGUUAUGGUCUGUGCACACAUUACCCUCCCCAGACCCCACUAGAUGGGAAUCACUAGGUAUGUUGCUGUUGUUGUUGUAAUAUGUUAAAUCCUUGCGAAUUGUCUUUGUUACUGUCACUUAUUAAUUUUACUUACUUUUAGUUAGGACAUUCAAAAAGAUCUGAAGAGGCCGAUUUAAACUUUGGUUCAGCUUAGCACAAGUGCCAUGACUAGUCUGGACUAGAGAAUCAUCAAAAUGCUAGGAAAACACCUGAUAAUGCAUUCACGACAGUGUUUGGAAAAGAGAAACCUGGUCGAGUUAGAGGCUAUGGUAGAUCAGUGACAAGAGCUUCUCUGGAAAAAUAUGAGGAAAUGAAUGAGCUUAACAAAAGCAUGCUAAUGAAGUAACUUCUAUUAAGGAAGAAAUUAUAAGUGAAAUAAGAGAAGAAAUGCGACAGUUUUUUAGUAAAUUGGUGCAAAAGAAUACUGGAUUGAAUUUUCAAGAUAUACUAGGGAGUGAUGGAUCUAACAUUCCUUCACCUGAUGUGAGUAAUGCACAAGUUAUAAGAGGAAAAAUUCUUUUAAACUCUUCUAGCUCAACUCAUGCUUCGGUUCAUGAAAAGGAUUAAUGCGGUGGAUCAAAUUUGAAUGGCGGGCGCCACAACUCAACAUGAUUGAGAUUGAAGUGAAUGAUGAAUUUCUGAAAUAUUUUGAUAUACAUUUAUAUACAUUUGGUUUUGUGUGGAACUUGAUACAAUUUUUUAUUAUGUUUUUUUUCUUAUUAGUAUGUAAAAGACAUAUUUUUUUAAAAUCAAAUCU
Long non-coding RNA from Capsicum annuum, 898 nucleotides. RefSeq lists it as uncharacterized. The record is from RefSeq and is a predicted model, not a curated record. NCBI's taxonomy places the organism in Eukaryota, Viridiplantae, Streptophyta, Magnoliopsida, Solanales, Solanaceae. The transcript has 3 exons.